Molecule: ribosomal RNA, 497 nt
Filed under: uncultured bacterium
Lineage: Bacteria
Description: partial 16S ribosomal RNA
Rfam family: Bacterial small subunit ribosomal RNA
Source: RNAcentral
GAUGAACGCUGGCGGCGUGCCUAAUACAUGCAAGUCGAGCGAACGGACGAGAAGCUUGCUUUUCUGAUGUUAGCGGCGGACGGGUGAGUAACACGUGGAUAACCUACCUAUAAGACUGGGAUAACUUCGGGAAACCGGAGCUAAUACCGGAUAAUAUUUUGAACCGCAUGGUUCAAAAGUGAAAGACGGUCUUGCUGUCACUUAUAGAUGGAUCCGCGCUGCAUUAGCUAGUUGGUAAGGUAACGGCUUACCAAGGCAACGAUGCAUAGCCGACCUGAGAGCGUGGAGCACUACCGUGUCUCUGAGGCCGGGCCGAGACCCUCAGGGGGGGACGCAGUACGGACUCUUCCGGAAGGCGCGAGUGCGUAACGGUGCACCGCGGGGGGAGGCAUGACGUUGUCAGGCCCCUAAAAUUAUGUUAUUAGGAAGAAUGUUAUGUGCAUGCACCGGGGACCAUCUUGACGUUACCAAAACAAAAAGCCCCGGCUAACUCCGGG